RNAcentral lists this ribosomal RNA (408 nucleotides) under Triticum aestivum (bread wheat). RNAcentral describes it as "partial small subunit ribosomal RNA". Lineage: Eukaryota; Viridiplantae; Streptophyta; Magnoliopsida; Poales; Poaceae. The record is from RNAcentral.
AUGUGGCAGAAGUUUGACAUGGAAAAGAUGAUCCCCAGUCUAAAUUUGCAAUUCUCAUCACAGGAUCCAGUAAUGGAGGGUAGCAGUGCGAUGUCUCCUCUAGGAGAGCCCUCAAUUCCAAUGAUCGCAGCAUGUGCACCAGCACUAUCAGCCAUGGAAUCGGUCAACAGUGUUCAAAAUCAAGAUUUCAGCGAUGCAACGUCAUUCGCAGAAAUUAAUUCCCCAUUGCUUCUCAUUGAUGACUCCAGUACACCGAAAAAAAAUCAUUCUCUCAAGAGGACAUAUGCACACAAUGUCGGAUUUGGUGUGCGUCUUGGACAACAAAGGGUCGUAGAUAAUGUGCUUCAAUGGAAACGCUUCCUGUGUGCAAAAGAAGGCUUCCGUCCCGAGAAAGGUAGGUCGAACUGA